This is a long non-coding RNA of Lethenteron reissneri (Far Eastern brook lamprey), 476 nucleotides long. RefSeq lists it as uncharacterized. The record is from RefSeq and is a predicted model, not a curated record. Lineage: Eukaryota; Metazoa; Chordata; Hyperoartia; Petromyzontiformes; Petromyzontidae.
UCUUCCAUCCCGCCUGACCUCACCGAUUCGGCGAAGACCCCUGCCAUGCCAGAGGAGAGAUCGUAGCCUGCAGAAUGCACAACGCACGAAUACAGAGCGCGCGGUUAUCGGGGGAUCGCUCGGAUGUCUUGCUCGGGGCCCUGGCUGGUACCCCGCAAACGGCGGAAGUAGCCGCUAAAAGGAUGCACGUGAACGGGGCUCCGUGUUUCGCUCCGACCGGAGCCCCCCCGACGGGAUGUAAUGAGAACAAGCUCUACCAGUCCCUGUGACACUCCGCUCAUCACCCACCCCCUCUACACAAAGUGGGACUCCACGGGGUGUCCCUGCGCCGUGACCUCACGAAGGUUCCUCACCGCUCGCAGCUGUAAAAGCGGCCGUGCGGGUAUGGGCGACACUUCGCAACGCGAGCUGAAAAGGGAGGUCUCCCAGGCGCCCCGAAAAAGAAAAAAAAACCCCACACAUUGGAGACCCUUACA